GCUCACUUCGGCAGCACGUAUACCAAAAUUUGAAAGAUAGAGAAAAAUUAGCAUGAUCCCUACACAAGGAUGACAGGUAAAUUCGUGAAACUUUUCAUGUUCCA
Small nuclear RNA from Sorex fumeus (smoky shrew), 104 nucleotides. NCBI's taxonomy places the organism in Eukaryota, Metazoa, Chordata, Mammalia, Eulipotyphla, Soricidae. The record is from RefSeq and is a predicted model, not a curated record.